GCCCUAGUAGCUUAACAUAAUAGCGCUGGUCUUGUAAACCAGAGAUGAGAGACACCCUCCAAGGACA
RNAcentral lists this transfer RNA (67 nucleotides) under Psammodromus algirus. Its description in RNAcentral is "tRNA-Thr". It matches the Rfam family "tRNA". Rfam says of the family: Transfer RNA (tRNA) molecules are approximately 80 nucleotides in length. Their secondary structure includes four short double-helical elements and three loops (D, anti-codon, and T loops). Further hydrogen bonds mediate the characteristic L-shaped molecular structure. tRNAs have two regions of fundamental functional importance: the anti-codon, which is responsible for specific mRNA codon recognition, and the 3' end, to which the tRNAs corresponding amino acid is attached (by aminoacyl-tRNA synthetases). tRNAs cope with the degeneracy of the genetic code in two manners: having more than one tRNA (with a specific anti-codon) for a particular amino acid; and 'wobble' base-pairing, i.e. permitting non-standard base-pairing at the 3rd anti-codon position. The record is from RNAcentral. Lineage: Eukaryota; Metazoa; Chordata; Lepidosauria; Squamata; Lacertidae.